This 253-nucleotide ribosomal RNA is filed under the name uncultured bacterium. Its description in RNAcentral is "partial 16S ribosomal RNA". It matches the Rfam family "Bacterial small subunit ribosomal RNA", at positions 524 to 776 of the family's 1533-position model. The record is from RNAcentral.
UACGGAGGGGGUUAGCGUUGUUCGGAAUUACUGGGCGUAAAGCGCGUGUAGGCGGAUCACAAAGUUGGGGGUUAAAUCCCGGGGCUCAACCCCGGAACUGCCUCCAAAACUCCUGGUCUUGAGUUCGAGAGAGGUGAGUGGAAUUCCGAGUGUAGAGGUGAAAUUCGUAGAUAUUCGGAGGAACCCCAGUGGCGAAGGCGGCUCACUGGCUCGAUACUGACGCUGAGGUGCGAAAGUGUGGGGAGCAAUCAGG